Phoenix dactylifera (date palm) is the source of this 1482-nucleotide non-coding RNA. NCBI's taxonomy places the organism in Eukaryota, Viridiplantae, Streptophyta, Magnoliopsida, Arecales, Arecaceae. The record is from RefSeq and is a predicted model, not a curated record.
UUGAUGAUAGGGGCUUCGUCACCGAAUAGUGGAAGGCAAUCACGAUCGGGGUUUUCAUCGGAAUCUAGUACAAAGGAGACUGAUGGAGAUCCUAAUACUAAUGGAGUGACAUCUCGAGUUACCAGACCAAGGAAGACCGGAAUAGCGGCGCAGGUAGUUAUCAGAUUCCUUACUAGAUUUUGGUAACGUAGAUUCCUUUGUAGAUUUUGUGUCGUUAUUCGUGUAAAUGAAUUUCUUGAUGGGUUUGUGGUGGAAACAGAGGGAACGGACCACAAACAUGAAGCUCAGAGACUUAAUGGACUACUUCCACCUACCUAUAAAACGCGCUUCCCAGGAGCUCAGAUUGUGUUCGACCUCUCUCAAAAGUAUCUGCAGGAAGUACGGAUUGUCCCGGUGGCCCAGCCGCAAGAUAAGAAGUAUCGACAGGCAGAUAGAGAGUCUGGAGAGAGAACUGCAAAGCCGAAGGGGAGGCGCAGGAAGUUUAGCCAUUAGAGAAGAGAUAGAGAAGCUUAAAGAAAAGAGAGCGAGGUUGUGUACCGGCCUGUCGACUUAGAUCGAAUACGUCUUCAGCGUCGGUUAUAAGGAUUGCUUUGAUUUGGUCAUCAAUGGAAGCCAAAAAAAUCUCUCUGCGUCAGCAUUGCUCUACCCAUAUAUCCGUGAGAGUGCUUCAUCUAGUUUCAGUGUAAUUGAAAUAAACAUCAAGUGGAAGUCCGUCAGUCUGUGUUUAAUCCUUUUGCGUUCGCUUGAGUGGAAGUCAAAUGAUUUUAAUAAGGAUGCGGAAUUUAUGAUCUCUAAAUAAAUUAUGCAUUUAACCAAAAAAUUAGAGAAGAAACCAAGCAAGCCAGAAGCUUUGAGGUUACUUGUUACUAUAGUAUAGCCGGUUACCAUGAUGACCUGACGCUUCUUCAAGUUUCUAAUACAUUUUAUACAGGUUUUGGAUAAUGUUCACAAACGGAUAUACGUAAAGGAAAGAGUUCACAAAGGAACCUGACCUGAUGACUAAAUCGAAAAAUUAAUUUGCUCAAAAAAUUUACAAAAUCAAUCACGAUAAUCACGGAGAUAAAUAGCCAGCAAGAUGCUUUACAGUAUUAAUUCCGGGUUAUUUAGGAUUAUUACAAUCAAAGUGUCUGUGUGUGUGUGUGUAUUUGGUAGUGUAUUUAGGACUGUUGCAUUUCUCUUGGGGUUACUUUAGGUCGCUAAAAUCAGUUACACACAACACCUAAUCAAUAAAAACUCAUGAUACAAUAACAGUUUUACCAAAUUACCAUGUCCCCAUGAUGCACCGCGCUGCCAUUCGACAUACAUUUACACAGCUCCUAAUCAAUAAAAACUCAUGAUACAAUAACAAUUCAAAUAAAUUACCACGUCCACGAGAUGCACCACGCUUGCCUUACAUUUUAGCUGUCCUCAUGGUUAUGAUUUAAUUUUAAAAGUUAGAAUAAACCAAUUACGUUGUACAGUACAAUUAGCUGUUCUCAUGUA